CCUACGGGUGGCAGCAGUGGGGAAUAUUGCGCAAUGGGGGAAACCCUGACGCAGCAACGCCGCGUGAGUGAGGAAGUAUCUCGGUAUGUAAAGCUCUAUCAGCGGGGAAGAAAGAGGACGGUACCAGACUAAGAAGCCCCGGCUAACUACGUGCCAGCAGCCGCGGUAAUACGUAGGGGGCGAGCGUUAUCCGGAUUUACUGGGUGUAAAGGGAGCGUAGACGGCGUCGCAAGUCUGAAGUGAAAGCCCGUGGCUCAACCGCGGAACCGCAUUGGAAACUGCGAGGCUGGAGUGCUGGAGAGGUAGGCGGAAUUCCUGGUGUAGCGGUGAAAUGCGUAGAUAUCAGGAAGAACACCGGUGGCGAAGGCAGCUUACUGGACAGUGACUGACGUUGAGGCUCGAAAGCGUGGGGAGCAAACAGGAUUAGAUACCCCAGUAGUC
RNAcentral lists this ribosomal RNA (441 nucleotides) under uncultured bacterium. Its description in RNAcentral is "partial 16S ribosomal RNA". It matches the Rfam family "Bacterial small subunit ribosomal RNA", at positions 338 to 795 of the family's 1533-position model. The record is from RNAcentral.